RNAcentral lists this transfer RNA (76 nucleotides) under Candidatus Pelagibacteraceae bacterium. Its description in RNAcentral is "tRNA-Thr". It matches the Rfam family "tRNA". From Rfam's summary of the family: Transfer RNA (tRNA) molecules are approximately 80 nucleotides in length. The record is from RNAcentral. Lineage: Bacteria; Pseudomonadati; Pseudomonadota; Alphaproteobacteria; Candidatus Pelagibacterales; Candidatus Pelagibacteraceae.
GCCCACAUAGCUCAGUUGGUAGAGCACUUCCAUGGUAAGGAAGAGGUCGUGUGUUCGAUUCACACUGUGGGCACCA